Molecule: transfer RNA, 68 nt
Filed under: Nacolus tuberculatus
Lineage: Eukaryota; Metazoa; Arthropoda; Insecta; Hemiptera; Cicadellidae
Description: tRNA-Trp
Source: RNAcentral
AGGAUUUUAAGUUAAUUAAUUAAACUAUAAGCCUUCAAAGCUUAAAAAGUAAAUAAAGUCAAGUCUUG